RNAcentral lists this ribosomal RNA (246 nucleotides) under uncultured Lactobacillus sp. RNAcentral's name for it is "partial 16S ribosomal RNA". It matches the Rfam family "Bacterial small subunit ribosomal RNA", at positions 116 to 355 of the family's 1533-position model. Lineage: Bacteria; Bacillati; Bacillota; Bacilli; Lactobacillales; Lactobacillaceae. The record is from RNAcentral.
CGUGGGUAACCUGCCCAAGAGAUCGGGAUAACACCUGGAAACAGACGCUAAUACCGGAUAACAACAGAUGAUGCCUAUCAACUGUUUAAAAGAUGGUUCUGCUAUCACUCUUGGAUGGACCUGCGGUGCAUUAGCUAGUUGGUAGGGUAACGGCCUACCAAGGCGAUGAUGCAUAGCCGAGUUGAGAGACUGAUCGGCCACAUUGGGACUGAGACACGGCCCAAACUCCUACGGGAGGCAGCAGCC